GGCUGGUCUGAGUGCAGUGUUGUUUAUAACUUAUUGAUCCCAACCAGUUACAGAUUUUCUUGUUCCUUCUCCACUCCCACUGCUUCACUUGACCAGCCUUAA
This is an unclassified non-coding RNA of Colobus angolensis palliatus, 102 nucleotides long. It matches the Rfam family "Y RNA". Rfam says of the family: Y RNAs are components of the Ro ribonucleoprotein particle (Ro RNP), in association with Ro60 and La proteins. The Y RNAs and Ro60 and La proteins are well conserved, but the function of the Ro RNP is not known. In humans the RNA component can be one of four small RNAs -- hY1, hY3, hY4 and hY5. NCBI's taxonomy places the organism in Eukaryota, Metazoa, Chordata, Mammalia, Primates, Cercopithecidae. The record is from Ensembl.